CCUACGGGUGGCAGCAGUCGAGAAUCAUUCACAAUGGGGGAAACCCUGAUGGUGCGACGCCGCGUGGGGGAAUGAAGGUCUUCGGAUUGUAAACCCCUGUCAUGUGGGAGCAAAUUAAAAAGAUAGUACCACAAGAGGAAGAGACGGCUAACUCUGUGCCAGCAGCCGCGGUAAUACAGAGGUCUCAAGCGUUGUUCGGAAUCACUGGGCGUAAAGGGUGCGUAGGCUGUUUCGUAAGUCGUGUUUGAAAGGCGCGGGCUCAACCCGAGGACGGCACAUGAUACUGCGAGACUAGAGUAAUGGAGGGGGAACCGGAAUUCUCGGUGUAGCAGUGAAAUGCGUAGAUAUCGAGAGGAACACUCGUGGCGAAGGCGGGUUCCUGGACAUUAACUGACGCUGAGGCACGAAGGCCAGGGGAGCGAAAGGGAUUAGAUACCCGAGUAGUC
RNAcentral lists this ribosomal RNA (446 nucleotides) under uncultured bacterium. RNAcentral's name for it is "partial 16S ribosomal RNA". It matches the Rfam family "Bacterial small subunit ribosomal RNA", at positions 338 to 795 of the family's 1533-position model. The record is from RNAcentral.